GGGCCCGCACAAGCGGUGGAGCAUGUGGUUUAAUUCGAAGAUACGCGCAGAACCUUACCAACACUUGACAUGUUCGUCGCGACUCUAAGAGAUUAGAGUUUUCGGUUCGGCCGGACGAAACACAGGUGCUGCAUGGCUGUCGUCAGCUCGUGUCGUGAGAUGUUGGGUUAAGUCCCGCAACGAGCGCAACCCUCACUUUUAGUUGCCAUCAUUAAGUUGGGCACUCUGAAAGAACUGCCAGUGAUAAGCUGGAGGAAGGUGGGGAUGACGUCAAGUCCUCAUGGCCCUUACGUGUUGGGCUACACACGUGCUACAAUGGUAUCUACAACAGGAAGCAAGACGGCGACGUUAAGCAAAUCCUCAAAAGAUACCUCAGUUCGGAUUGCACUCUGCAACUCGAGUGCAUGAAGCUGGAAUUACUAGUAAUCG
Molecule: ribosomal RNA, 429 nt
Filed under: uncultured bacterium
Lineage: Bacteria
Description: bacterial SSU rRNA
Rfam family: Bacterial small subunit ribosomal RNA
Source: RNAcentral